CAGGGGCCAGAGGGUCUGCCGGACAACAGAGGGCCCCAAGCGUCCCCUGGAUUGGAGGGUGAGCAGUUGGCCUAGCGGGACCUCUGGGACCAAAAGGUCGACCAGGGGGAGACAAGGCCAGAAAGGUCAAAAGGUUCUGAGGGGAGACAAGUCCAGAAAGGUCAAAAGGGGUAUGAUGGUCGAAAUGGGUAUCCAGGAAAGACGGGACACAUCGGGAGGAGGGUCAGAAUAAAGCCAUCUCUUUUUCACAUAUUACAAUUUCUCAUUUCAAUUUAUAUGGAUCUUGAUUCUUGAUUAUAAAAGCUGUUUUUCUUACCAUGUAAGGGGAAAAGAGGGAAAUCUGGAAACAGAGGCUUAAGAGGAGGGAGAGGAGAAAAGGUCAUCACUAUUGACUGUGAGAAAUUCGGGCCUGAUUAUGCACUAGCCAUAACAUACAGAAUAAUGUUUUUUUAACCUUUAAAACACUGCUAAUGUUUUGCAGCGGUGAGAUUUUGUGUAAGGUCAACAGGGUAUAACAUUUUUAUCAAGAUUUAACAUUUUCUUUGGCCUACAGGGAAAAGGGGAGAUUUUGGUUCAACGGGGCCUCCAGGAAGACAAGGGCCUUACAUAGGUUAUUUUUAAUAACCAUAUAAUUUGAUCUGUUUUGGAAAUGCUGUGCGCUCUUUUCAAUGCCAGGUGGUUAGCUGUACAACUCAAUCACUGUGUCCCCAAAACUCAGGAAAUAACUACCCUUGUUUCUAUAUAUUUGUCUUUCUCUGUUCCUCUAAGGGGACACCUGGCAUACAAGGAGAGAAGGGUGAAAUGGGUGAACCAGGAGUAGAGGGAGAGAAGGGGGAGAUGGGUCAGACAGGCCCUCCUGGAGCUCAGGGGCUGAAGGGGACACAAGGCCCUUUGGGAGAGCCAGGGAGCGAUGGCCUAAAAGGAGAACAGGGAGACAUUGGUCCUGAUGGGGGGUGGGGGACCCCAGAUCUAACUGGAAUUCCUGGUUUGUUUGGAGAAACUGUAUAUUACUCUAAAUACAAAUACCUGCAUAUGUUCCGUUUUUUUAUGCAUACCUUUAUGUGUUCUGUACAUGUAUCAGGUCCUGUUGGAGUGAGAGGCCUGCCUGGUCUGGACCUCCUGGAACCUCUCUGAUCCGUACUCUGGCA
Salvelinus sp. IW2-2015 is the source of this 1148-nucleotide non-coding RNA. NCBI's taxonomy places the organism in Eukaryota, Metazoa, Chordata, Actinopteri, Salmoniformes, Salmonidae. The record is from RefSeq and is a predicted model, not a curated record.